This 497-nucleotide ribosomal RNA is filed under the name uncultured bacterium. Its description in RNAcentral is "partial 16S ribosomal RNA". It matches the Rfam family "Bacterial small subunit ribosomal RNA", at positions 28 to 507 of the family's 1533-position model. The record is from RNAcentral.
GAUGAACGCUGGCGGCGUGCCUAAUACAUGCAAGUCGAGCGAACAGAUGAGGAGCUUGCUCUUCUGACGUUAGCGGCGGACGGGUGAGUAACACGUGGAUAACCUACCUAUAAGACUGGGAUAACUUCGGGAAACCGUAGCUAAUACCGCAUAAUAUUUUGAAUCGCAUGGUUCAUUCGUGAAAGACGCUUUUGCUGUCACUUCAAGAUGAAUCGGCUCGUCAUUAGUUAGUGGGUAAGGUAACGGCUUACCAAGGGAACGAUGCGUAGCCGACCUGAGAGGGUGACCGGCCACACGGGAACGGGGACACGCUCAAGACUCCUACGGGAGGCAGCAGUAGGGAAUCUUCCGCAAAGGGCGAAAGCCUGACGGAGCAAGGCCGCGUGAGUGAUGAAGGUCUUCGGAUCGUAAAACUCUGUUAUUAGGGAAGAACAAAUGUGUAAGUAACUAUGCACGUCUUGACGGUACCUAAUCAGAAAGCCACGGCUAACUACGUG